CCAGCGUGAUCUCUGGAAAAGAAAAGUGGAACAAGUGGCUGAAGAAGCUGACUCUUUGAAAGCCAGUCUGGAUAAAUAUAAUUUAAGACAUCAGCGACGUAUGCAAGAAGCCCGGGAGAGAGCAGAACUGAUUGGAAGAAGUAAUGGUGAUUCAUCCCAUGUUCUGAGGAUUUUUGAUGACGAAGCACAGGCGAUGCAAUCUGCUCGUAAUUCAUCUAGAAUAAUGGAAGAAACCCUGGCAACAGGUGUGGCCAUUCUAUCCAAAUAUAGCGAGCAGAGGGAUCGUUUGAAGAGAGCUCAACGUAAAGCACUGGACGUGCUCAACACUUUGGGGCUUUCAAAUUCUGUGAUGAGACUCAUUGAGAAGAGGAAUCGCGUUGAUAGAUGGAUCAAGUAUGCAGGGAUGGUCUUAACAAUUGUGAUUCUGUUUUUCAUUUGGAGGUGGACAAGAUGAUUGGUACUGCUGUGGACCAUUUAGCGAGUGUCUUGUGGUAGUAUAUUGAGGUAAUGAGACUUUUAGUCCCCUUUAAAGGAAUCUGGGGAAAUUUGACUUGAUACUUGAUUAGCCAUUUUGAACUAAUGAAGAAAUUGAUAAAGCAUUGCAAUGUAGAAUAUGAAAACAUCAUUUUUGGAAACUUUACUGGUGUGUUCAUACAGAAUUAUGUAAA
Molecule: unclassified non-coding RNA, 668 nt
Filed under: Hevea brasiliensis (rubber tree)
Lineage: Eukaryota; Viridiplantae; Streptophyta; Magnoliopsida; Malpighiales; Euphorbiaceae
Source: RNAcentral